UAACCAUUUUUGUCCAAAGACUAGUCAUGAUGGAACUAAACUCCUAGUAUAUAGAAUCUCUAACAGAAAUUUUGGAUUUGGUUUAAUCAAAGAGAAAUGCAGAGGCUUUUCUGGUUGUGUAAUGUGGCUCAUUAUUGUAAAAAACAUAAAUAAAAAGAAAUACAUUCCUCACUCAUCUUAAACCAAGAGCUAAUACCUAAGCACAACUUUUCCUCCAGAGAACUGAAACAAGAGGAAGAAGAAGAAGAAAGAAGCCGCUGAAAAAUCUAGCUGCUUCCAAUUUCAGUACGCAGAAGCUUAGAGAGAAGAUUACACCAACUAGAGCUUCAUUGUAUUCUUGUAAAGAAGAUAGCGACAAUGCAAGUCAAGAUGAUCAUCAUUCUCCAAACAAUCAUGUCAUGAAUCAGAUCGGGAAAUGAUAAAAUAAACUGAGAAUUAUUUCAAGUUUUUCUUAUAUGCUAUCAAGACAUUUUGACAUAUGAUUUUGUGGGAUUGUAAUUCUCAUUAUACUUUCUUACAAUUAACUAUUAAAGAGUGCGGAUGGGAUCAAGUUUUUUUCGAA
Molecule: long non-coding RNA, 562 nt
Organism: Manihot esculenta (cassava)
Lineage: Eukaryota; Viridiplantae; Streptophyta; Magnoliopsida; Malpighiales; Euphorbiaceae
Exons: 4
Source: RefSeq, a predicted model, not a curated record